GAAAUACACCGUUUGCUGAAGAGCAGGGCUGGGCACUGGUUUCUCUGCGUUCUGAAUUUCUAGAAAGGGGGGCGGCUCCACUGUGCUUCUGAUGACCCGGCCGCCGCCGCCGCCCUGCAACCGCUCCCCGGGACCCCUCAACGCUGACACUGAUGACCCGCGGCGGGGGCGCUGGGCGCGGGGUGCGCAGGCCACUGGCCGCGGGCUCUCGGGCCCGCUCCUGCCGCCGGCUUCUGCUGCUUCCGCGGUAAUGACACUCGGCGGAGCGGCCGCCAUCUCUUCUGGUACUUUCACUGGAGGAGGGAAGGGUGGGGAGAGCCCUCUGUCCACCCCUGCCCUGCCCUGGCGCUGGUCCGCCACUGCCCGCUGCUCUCGCGCUGGUCCGCAGCUCAGCCGAGCAGCUCCCUUCAUCUGGCCUCCCAGACCCUCACUCAGCCGCGAGAGGAGGAGCUCCGGCGACCUCGGGCCUUCCCUUAGGGUCUGCGCGGCCCUUACCCCAAACCCGCCCAAGGUAGAGGCGUGAAGGGGCCGGCGGCGAUGCAGAGGCGGGAAGCGCAUUGGGGAGGCGAGGCUGGAGAAGGGGACGCAGGGAGGCGGGGGGUGGACCCCCAGCAUACUCCAGGAGCCGGCAGGAGCCAAACCCCAGCCCUCCACACAGGUAUUCCUGCGGACCACGAGGUGCCACCCGUCCCUGGUCGCAGAAAAGACGAAGGGAAGGCCCAGCUUCCCUACCUCUACCUCCCAUGCCGGGCGCCCAGCCUGCUCAACUGAACCCCAAGCCGCAGGUUAACCCUGCUCCAGCUUCUCCCCUUGGCUAUGGGCAAACUCCUUUUCUCUUUCCCAUUGAGAACCACCGCUCAAAUUCGGAGGGCUUUCCUCCUUGGUGCUCAGAGCUCCCAAGAUGGGUGAUUCUCUGCCAGGGGUCCUUAGCUACCCACUUUGGACAAGGAUGGACAGAUGUUUUCUCAAGCUUGCCUAAAGCACAGCUUCUAAACAGAUGAGCCCUCCCCACGUUCCCCGCAGAUUGUCUGGCCUUCGAGGAAAUAAAGAUGACCGUAGCCAAGCUGCCCUGCUCCGCACAAAGGACCCUGGGCGCCCCAUCCUUAACUCCCCUGCCUUAUGCUUGAGAUUAGCAUAUCCACCCAGCAACUCCUCUGCUCCAGACUUAACUUGACCACUGCAGUCCACACCGACUCUCCUAUCCACCAGAACUGUGCACUUAAAAUCUGCUGCACACAAUCCCAUACUUGCUUGAGUCUGGCUUUGUUCUCCAAUAGUUUCAAAUGCCUGUUUGACUCCCCCCGCCACCCCCACAGAGAUAAGGUCAUCACAAGCAGUAACUACUGCUUUGCUUGUUUUGAUUCCCACAGAGCCGAGCAUAGAUUGAUGUGGCAUAAGUGCUCAAUAAAUGCCCAUGGACUUGGCUAAUGGAUGGACUUGCAGGGGACACUGCCCCAUCAGGAGAGAAAGUGCCGUGGACACUGCCAGAAUUUGUCAAAGGUCCUAGGAAGAAAAGGCUCUUUCACCCCUCCCCUCAAUGAACAGAUGGCGUGUUUGGACUGUUCGCAUUCGCUCCUCAUAGGUGGGAUCCUGGAGGAAGUUAAGGGGUGCUCCGUUCCCUGGGGAUGGGACAGCAGCUCGCCUUUUUACUAAUAGCUAUAAGGGACUGUCAGACAUUUACCUGACUAGACCUUCACCUCAGAGCUCAGAAGGGGAACAGCUCCAGAACUAAAAGAGAGAGCCUCUGGCAGACCCCAAAAGACAGCAUGUGGAGUGAAGCUGGGCUUCCCUGCCCAAUCACUAGGAUCAUUUAUUGCACAAAUACCUGUAUUUUAAGCUGCAGAUUAUUGUGAAUUUUUGUAUUUUCUUCAUUUCCAUUUAGCUUUUUUUCAAUUUUAGAAUAGCCUUUCUCUAGAUAACUCGAGGAAGUGGGAGACGGAAUUUCCUUUGUUUCUGUCUUGAGCCCAAAGGGACAAUUGAGUGUCAGGUAUGACAGGGAUAAAGGGAGAAACUCAGAAAUAAUGCUUUUGUUUUGUUUUGUUUUGUUUUGAGAUGGAGUCUCGCUCUUGUCGCCCAGGCUGGAGUGCAAUGGCAUGAUCUUGGCUCACUGCAAACUCCACCUCCUGGGUUCAAGCGAUUCUCCUCCUCAGCCUCCCAAGUAGAUGGGCUUACAGGCAAGCGCCAUCACGCCCGGCUAAUUUUGUAUUUUUAGUAGAGAUGGGGUUUCACCAUAUUGGUCAGUCCGGUCUUGAACUCCUGACCUUGUGAUCCACCCACCUUGGCCUCUCAAAGUGCUGGGAUUACAGGCAUGAGCCACCGCACCCAGCCAGAGGAAUGUUUUGGGUGCUACACGUGCAGCCCCUCAUGACUGUAUCUCCUCAGAGCUCUUUUCUUCACAUUCCUGAGUGCUUUGUGUUUUGUUUAUUUAAGGGACAAAUGAAUCUCUUCCCACGCCAUGGGAUUUCCCUUGAUUUUUAUAUUGGGAGUGAAAAGAUGAAGCAUGAGACUCUUCAGCUGCAUCUCGAACUGCAUCUAAUCCCAGCACAUCUCUCUCAAUCUUUGAUUAAGUCUGUUCAUCUAAAAGAGAGACACAGGGGAAAAAUGGAAAUGGGACUUUGGAAGAAUGACCAUCCACAUUCCCAUCACAGCCUGAGAUUUCCUACCUGAUUGAGAUUUUCAGUAGAUGGCCCUAGGUCUAGUUUCCCACUUUGGACCUGCUGCCCUUGGCUCCAAUAGAGGACUUCCAAGUAACUAGGAAGAUUUCACCUCUCUUUUGAAACAUAAUGGACAAAUGUGUUUCUUUAGGAUGAGAGGUGCACCUGGCUAGUCAAUCUUUAUUUUCCUAAAAUAAACAGGAUGAAAACUCAAAACAAAAAGAAAUACCUCAUGGGCAAAAGCUCUCCCAAUACAACUAAUACAGACACUCAACAUGGCUUUGUAGAAACUGACCCCUCUCCCAAGUCUUAUGUUUGUCAGAAUUGCAUGCCUAUUUCAAUCGAAGAAAAGUGAUCUGAUCUCUUCAGAUGAAGGUGGGACUUGGAGAUGCUGCUGCCUAGAGUUAACUUGCCAGAGAAAGGAUAAGCAUUCGGGAAGUGCCAGGAUGGGGUAUCAGCUGAACAAUGGCAGGAUCCCUUCUGCCAGUGGGCUGGCUCAGGGAGUAAACCUCCCCGGAAGGAAUUUUGUUUCUCUCUAGAAUCAAAGUGGGCAAAAUGAUCACCUUAUUCGCCUGGAGUGAACCAGGUUGAAACUGAGAAGGCAGACAUGGGUGAUAAGCCAGAUGAAGUCAUAUGUUAUAACUAAGCUAUGUACCUGUAACUUGCCUGGUAGUUUUUUCAUUCUCUCUAAACAGGUCAUAAUAAGUGUUAGUCUGUGAUCCACUAUGGAGAGAGAUUUCUGGAAAGAAUAGAGGCAGUGGUAGAGGGUCCAAGGUUGUUAUUUAAGGAGAUGAAUGUGGGUCAGGUGCCGUGGCUCACACCUGUAAUCCCAGCAUUUUGGGAGGCAGAGGCAGGAGGAUUGCUUAAGGCCAGAGUUCAAGACCAAACUGGCCAAUAUAGUGAGAUCCCCCCCCCAUCUCUACAAAAGAUAGAAAAACUUAGCCAGGCAUGGUGGCAGGUGCUAUAGUCCCUGCCACCAUGGGACUACAGCUCCUGCAGUCCCAGCUACUCAGGAGUUGAGGCGGAAGGAUUGCUUGAGCCCAGAAGUUCGAGGUUGCAGUGAGCCAUGAUCAUGCCACUGCACUCCUCCGUGGGUGACAGAGCGAGACCUGACUCAAUAAUAAUAAUAUUAAUAAUAAUGAUAAUGCAACACAAACUAUCUUUUACCUCUUGAACAAUGAAUGCAGAUGCCAUGACUACAUCUGUUUGUUGGGGACCAGGGAGGCUGCCAGUGAGGAUUCAGGGUGGAAGUAGUGUGUACCCAAUACCUAUUGUGAGAUGUGGCCUGGGGAGCCCUGAGAUUGCCUGGCCAGGCUCACUCACUACCCAGACACCCUCUUCCUGCAUGGCGAGUCCCUCAGCCCCUCCAAGGCUCAAUUCUCAGACAUCGGAGUAAUCCACAUCCUCCAUCUUGAGUUACUCCUCACAAGGCCUGCAAGUUUUCCUAGGAGGAAGGGAAGACAGGGUUGAACCCACACAAUUCUAGAAUCUAGAAUUUGGAGGAUUUCUAAACCAUUUCUGUAAGUCAGCCCUUGAGAACUUGUAGAUUUUCUCAUCAUUUGCAGCAUGAGAGUCUGGAGUAGACUGUUUGGAUUUGACUCUUGGUUCCUUGGGCAAGUUACUUAACCUCUCAGCUGUGUGUCAGUUUCCUUAUCUAAAAAGUGUGGUUAAUAAUAACUGACCUCUCAGAGGUAUUGUGAGGUUACUGUGAUGAUUAAAUUAGUUGAUUCAUAUAAAAUGUUUAAAAGAGUGCCUGGCAUUAUUAUUAAUAGUAAUAAGUUUAGCAUAAGUCUUGCCUGCCAAUAAGGAGCUGGAUUGAAUGACUACUUUGAUUCUAUUUCUUGGCCUUCUCUUCUCUGGACUAGGUGACCCCAACUUUCUCCUUACUCCUGAAAAAUUUAUCCCAGUCUGCUAAGGAAGAGAAAGCCCAUGUGUGCACAUACACACAUGCACCUACACAAACAUUUACAUACAGUUUUGCUCUUCUAUACAGAGUUAAUAGAGCUACUAGAGUGUCUAGGAACCAAUCUGAAAGAGAAAGGAAACACUGCUUUUUUUUUGUUUGUUUUUUGAGAUGGAGUCUCACUCUGUCACCAGGCUGGAGUGCAGUGGCGCAAUUGUGGCUCACUGCAAACUCCACUUCCCUAGUUCAAAUGAUUCUCCUGCCUCAGCCUCCCGAGUAGCUGGGACUACAGGCGUGCAUCACCACACCCAGCUAAUUUUUGUAUUUUUAGUAGAGAUGGGGUUUCACCAUGUUGGCUAGGAUGGUCUUGAUCUCUUGACCUCGUGAUCUGCCUGCCUCAGCCUCUCAAAGAGCUGGGAUUACAGGCAUGAGUCACCACGCCCGGCCGAAACACUGCUUAUUACAAUUUAUAGGUUUAUGUUCAAAAAGUUGCUAAUCUUAUUGCUGUGAACCCCUGCCAUCUCUAGUCCUGCCCACCUAUAGGUACUGCAGACCAAAUUACAGAUUCAGAUUUGCCCAGUUCCUGUUCCUGUCUUGACCAAUCCUAGUAACUUAUUUGGGGCCCAGCCCCAUCUUCAGUGGAAGGUCUAAAAUUGGCCUUGCUUCCUUAAGCUGGGUACACAGUGGGCCCAGGACUAAGCCUCAUGAAGCUUUUAGAGGCCCACUGAGAUUAACCUUUCUCACCAGUGCUCACCUUGUCUUCCUAGUGACCAUGGCUGCCUUCUGUCUAGUUCUAGAGUUGCACUCUAAUUCUCUUCCAGCGCUGUUGCCCUGAUCUACAUAUCUAUCUCUUUUAGAACUUUCCAGCUUAUGUGUCCAAUGUCAGUCUUUCUUCCAAAUAAAUAGAACUUUAUCUUGAUGAAUAUUUAAUGUUCAACCCACCCCUGGUCCCUGGCUAGAAUCAUCUCUGAAAUGUCUAAAGCUCUGCCACUACCUGCACCAGGAGAAGCAAUGUGUCACCACCAACCUAAUAGCAACCAUCAGCUUUGCUGGAGUUAUCCAUUCACCGAACUGAAUCUAUCAGCUUUCCUGAGUUCACUGGGACACUGAUUUGGACCGGACACCAUCACUUGAGAAACAGCGUUAGCACCAGGGUGAACACCACCAGUACCCGACCUGCCUGUAGUUAGCUUCCUCCUCUUUCCCUAUUGACCCACAGAUUAAGUUGCUGCAUGCCCUGGGGCAACACCUGGGGGUAUGACAACUGAAAACUAAGAAACUAAGUACUAUACAUCCAAUUUGUCUGUGUUCACUGCCCACUUGACGUUUCUACUAGGAUGCUUGCAAGAUGCAUCAAACUCCGUAGUCCAAGAUCAUACUCAUGAUCUUUUGCCCAAAACCAUACCCCGCUUCCAUUCUGAUACUCCUCUAAUCAGUUUUCCACACUGCAACCCAAGUGAUCUUUUCAAAAUGCAAAUCUGUUCAUCACACACAUACACACUUAAAACCCUUCAUUGGCUCCUCUUCGUCCUCAGGAGAAAGGCUCAUAUCCUUAACACAGGCUCCCCGUCCUGCGUGUUUGGCCCUGGAUGCCUUUCCAGCCUUCCCUGGCCUCACUCUCCCUCUCCCCUGAUAUACUGCAGCCACCAGGGUCAUGUUAGCACGUGGGUCACUCUGCAGAGAAUUAGAUAAAGGUGCCCCUUCUGGACAGCCCAGUUGGAAAAAUGAUGCCCUUUCCUCUAAGCUGAUGCAGUGUCUCAUGGGCGAUCUCACUUGGCAAGAAAAGCAGGGCUGGAUUUCAGCUCCUACUCUGCUUCCUCAGCCCAGCUGUGCCCCCCUGGUCCACAGCACAGCCUGUGCUGGCCAAACCAGUUGCCUGCCUUCUUUUGGGUACCCCCAAAUACACCAUGUUCCCUCCUCCCACUGGCUUUUGCUCUUACUAUUUGCUCAACCUGGGAUACUCUUCCUCUCUCUUUCUAUCCAGCAAUCCCCUACUUAACCCUCAGAUCCCACCCAACCCUUACAUCCUCAGGAAAGCCUUCCCGAUCUCUCCUUCUUUCCAACCAGUUUAAGUUCCUUUGUAAUACCCUCUCAUCAGACAGGGCUUCCAUUUCUCCUAAUACUGAUCCAUUUUGGAAGCUUACACUCAUUUGUAGAACGAAUGUCUGACACCCUCAUUGUAUUACAAGCUCCAUUAGUGCAGAGACCAUGUCCUUUUCAUCUCUCUCCAUUGUAGUCCCAGAACUUAACACAGGGUCAGGCACAUAAUAGUUGAUCAUUAAAUAUUCAUUAAGCACCUACUGAGUGCAGGCUGCUCUUUAGUAGAUGGUAGUGUCUGGACUUUAUAAUCAGAACAACUUAAGCUUCCCAGAGGCAUGAUUAAGCACGUCAAAGAGGAAAAUAUUCUGUUCCACUUAAUUAUGCAUUUUUAUUUAAAAAUAGAAGUCUUUAUUAAAACAAC
Molecule: long non-coding RNA, 7018 nt
Filed under: Homo sapiens (human)
Lineage: Eukaryota; Metazoa; Chordata; Mammalia; Primates; Hominidae
Description: non-protein coding LINC00900:17
Source: RNAcentral